GGAUGCUCGCGACAUGUUUUGAAGACCACGCCAUCCUAAUAACUCCAAUUGCCAUUAUUAUGUUUUCUCUGGAUCGAUUAUUAAUCUCACAAAGUUUUGUUAACGUUCAACGUGUCUACGGAAUGCCAUAACUUAUAAACUGGAAAUUCAAACCAACAAAUAAUGAUCAAAAUCAAACAAAAUUAGUAGAUUAGUGUCAUACCCUAAUUUUUAACCCUAAUACCCC
This 226-nucleotide long non-coding RNA is filed under the name Lathyrus oleraceus (garden pea). RNAcentral describes it as "Pisum sativum (pea) long non-coding RNA (PSAT_LNC012471)". The record is from RNAcentral. Lineage: Eukaryota; Viridiplantae; Streptophyta; Magnoliopsida; Fabales; Fabaceae.